Molecule: RNA transcript, 1813 nt
Organism: Magnolia sinica
Lineage: Eukaryota; Viridiplantae; Streptophyta; Magnoliopsida; Magnoliales; Magnoliaceae
Gene name: triacylglycerol lipase 1
Exons: 10
Source: RefSeq, a predicted model, not a curated record
AAAGUCGUCUCAAAAUUUUAGAACGGCCUCAUUCCAAUCCUUUCAAAAAAAGAAGAAAAAGAAGAAGAAAAUAUCAUUCGCUCCGUUUAUGGAAAUGGAGAGGGCGGCGGUUGCAUUCGUCUUCCUCUUUCUUUUCCUUGGGGAGGGCUGCUGCUGCUCGACCGAGUGGAGAAAUCUCAGCCGUCGAUCACAUCAGAGCGAGGGCUUGUGCGCCCAGCUGAUUCGACCCUUGGGCUAUCCCUGCUUCGAACACGUGGUUGAAACAAGGGAUGGUUACCUUUUAGCUGUUCAACGUAUUCCUUACGGUAAAGGUGAAAUACGGACCAAAUCACGUUCUCCAGUUUUCCUUCAGCACGGACUCUUUCAGGGAGGAGAUACUUGGUUUGCAAAUUCAGAAGAGGAAUCAUUAGGGUUCAUCCUUGCAAAUCAUGGUUUCGAUGUAUGGGUUGGGAAUGUACGCGGCACACACUGGAGCCAUGGACAUGUCUCUUUAUCUGAGAAAGAGAAGGAAUUUUGGGAUUGGAGUUGGCAGGAACUAGCACAGUAUGACCUUGUGGAUAUGAUCAACUAUGUAUAUUCGGCAACAAGUUCCAAGGUUUUCUUUGUAGGGCACUCACAGGGAACUAUAAUGGCUCUAGCUGCUUUCACCCAACCAGAGAUAGUGGAAAUGGUUGAAGCUGCUGCUCUUCUCUGCCCCAUAUCAUAUUUGGGUCACAUCAGUUCCCGUCUUGUACUCAGAGCAGUUAGCAUGCAUCUUGAUCAGAUUCUUCUGACUCUGGGCAUUCAUCAGCUUAAUUUUCGAAGUGAUACAGGUGUCCAGAUAAUCGAUUCUUUAUGUGAUGACCAUUUAGAGUGCAGCAACUUGUUAUCUUCCAUAACAGGGAAAAAUUGUUGCUUCAACAACUCGAGAGUAGAUUUUUAUCUAGAGUAUGAACCUCAUCCGUCAUCAACAAAAAACUUGAACCAUCUUUUUCAAAGUGAGAUCAAGCAGGUUUCCGUCAGCAAUCAGCCAGUGAAUAAUGCAAACUUCAUGUUUUGGCCAUCACCUUCACCUCUCAAGGCCUCAUAUGAUGUUGAAGGGUCCCCUUGUUGCCUUUUCUGUAAUGUUUAUUGCUGGUGAAAUGAUGUAACAAGCUACAUAUGCUACCGCCAUUGACGGUUCUCUAUCCACAUGGGUGGAAGGUGGAUGCUGAUUGCAAUGACAUAGACAUCUACAUCUCCCAGCUAAAUGCCAUUGGACUGAAGUCCUUGACCAACUCCAAAUCCCUGCAUCUCCAACUAGUCCCAUCUGCUUUAUCGGAGUCAUUCAAAUGCUGACGAGAUCCAAAAUGAAUCCACCAAUGCAACCCAAUAAAAUGUGGCUCUAGAAUAAUGGAUCAUCCAGUUGAUUAUAGUACAUUUUCCAUUUCAUUAGACUGUCCAUUUUCAUGGCAAUUGACUAAGUGCUUAGGGUGUUUGAUGAAGUCAAUAUUGAUUGUAGGUCAAUGAAAUGUGGACCUACAUGAUGGAUGGUCCAUAACAAUGUUCAUACUUUUUUCCAUGUAAUCAAUGUUGAAUAUCUAUUGUCCUGGCACUGAUCAUAUUGUUAAAAAUGGUUGAUCAAAGUGAUUAUUGGGAGGCUUGGCCUGCCAAAGGUCGGUGCCACACAAUUGAACCUUUCCUAGUAUAAUCAUAAUGGAUGACCCAUUUGUUGGACUUGCAUUGAAUUCUUAAUCACCUGUAAUUAUCCAAGCAUCGUUCAAAAAGUAUUUGAAAUGUUAUAUUGUUUGGAUUGAAAUAAUUUCUACUUGAAAUGCUAUGUAGAGACCAUAAA